UUCAUUUUUCCUAACGUUGUAGCAAAAAGGACGCUAUGCUAACUUUUACAGAUGGCUCUUCCAACGGAAGAGCUGCAUAUGUUGUUAAUGGUGAAAAGGAAUUGUAGAGCAUGCCCAUGGCUCCUUGAAAACAAUGUAAAAGGAUAAAAACAGGAGAAUUAAGAAUUGCCACAUAAUGCCUUGUUUGCUGCAGACAGAUUUUGGCACGGCACGAUGACACCAAGGAAGAAAAUAAAGCUGGAUGAGAUGACGGCAUGUACAGCAGAGGAUGCCAGCUCUGAUGACAUCACAGCCGCUGAUGACGUCAUAGGAGAAGUGGAACAAGGUUCCUGAACCCCUGACCCUGGUCUCCUCGCACCACCAUGCUGCCGGCUGAGGAAAGGGGUGCCUGAACCAACGUUCCUGACUGACAACAACUUGCAGCAGUCCGACAAGGGAAAGAAGAGCGUGGUGACAACUGGGGAUUCCCGGCCUCUUGAUGGACUUGCUACCCAAACUUCCAGACCUAGUGAGUCCUGUUUACCUUGGAACUGGACCAGAAAUGCAGACUGCACAUUUGGCUGUUCUACUCUUUGGGACACAGAACUCAUUUUGACAAUGUGGUAUUCAAUCUGCUGUUAAAAUAUGGGCCUGAGAACUGAGACCUAAACUUUCCCCUCAGGGGAAAAUGGACUUGUUACAAGAAGUGUGAAGCCCCUCUCCAAAUAUGAGAAGGGCAGCCCAAGAGUUUUACUGCUGCUCAGAAACUGGACAAUUACUUCAAAGCAGCAAUAUGGUUAAACUCCCACCCAUCAGAGAAACCUUUUCUUGUCUUUUGAUUAGAAUGGAUUUGAGAGAAUUGUGAUGUGACAAUUGUGUGUUUAUUGUUAAUUUUCACUCUAGAAUUAUGGGUAUUGGCCGGUUAAUGUUUGUAACUGCUUUAGUUAUGGUAAGAAAAGUUGACAUUUCCUGUGAGUCCUUGGAUUUGACAUAUUUGGUAAAAAAAAAAUAAUUUUGGAUUUUGAUACAGCAAAAAAAAAAUGUUUAAAAAACACCCUAGACCAACUAAAAAAGGCAUUCCCAACCCUGGUGAUCCUCCUCUCCUUUAAUUAGGAGACUGUAACCAUUAGGAGCAUGUUUAUUCAAAAAACAUUAUUUAAUUGCAGAUGAACUCUUUUGACAAAAAAAUUGGCUCGGAGACACAGAGCCCAAAAGUAUUUUUCUCCCUUAAUCCUUUGUUUACAGAGGUUGCAGUCAUUGACGGGCUUGAUCCUUUUUCCUCCCAGGCCCCUUAGACAUGGGCUUGCAUGAUUAAAAUACAGAUGCCGAAGAUGGGUGAGUCUGGGAAAUGGGAAAGUGUUCACCUAAGGCAGACGCAAUCAUCUGUCCUGUUGCAGGAGCACAGGCUUUAUUAAAAUUAAUAAAAAGGGAGGAAUUGUGGAGGCCAAAAAACGCGGGCCCAUUUCCAUGCUGUCGGACAGUCAGAGAGUUUGGAGAUUGACAAGCAUAGUUGCACGUACCAACGCGGGAUGUAAUUGCUUGGUUCUUAAGAAAGUAUUAAGAUCACUCCAUGCCAUCCUGACAGGUGGUCAGUCUAUGCAAAUGUACAUCUGUGCCUUCUUUUGUAACUAUGAAGAUCACCUAGAGAGGGGCAGUCUUCAGGACGUCUGACCUAGAGCAGUUUUGCUACCUAGAUAACAGAAUAUGCUAAUGAUUUGGUAUCUCAGACUGAAAAAGUAAUUGACUGUGUGACUUAUCCUUUGAAUCAUGUUAAUAAAAUCUUUGUUACCUUC
Molecule: long non-coding RNA, 1772 nt
Organism: Arvicola amphibius (Eurasian water vole)
Lineage: Eukaryota; Metazoa; Chordata; Mammalia; Rodentia; Cricetidae
Exons: 2
Source: RefSeq, a predicted model, not a curated record